RNAcentral lists this ribosomal RNA (503 nucleotides) under uncultured bacterium. RNAcentral describes it as "partial 16S ribosomal RNA". It matches the Rfam family "Bacterial small subunit ribosomal RNA", at positions 30 to 523 of the family's 1533-position model. The record is from RNAcentral.
AUUGAACGCUGGCGGCAGGCUUAACACAUGCAAGUCGAGCGGGGUGAUGGUGCUUGCACUAUCACUUAGCGGCGGACGGGUGAGUAAUGCUUAGGAAUCUGCCUAUUAGUGGGGGACAACAUCUCGAAAGGGAUGCUAAUACCGCAUACGUCCUACGGGAGAAAGCAGGGGAUCACUUGUGACCUUGCGCUAAUGGAUGAGCCUAAGUCGGAUUAGCUAGUUGGUGGGGUAAAGGCCUACCAAGGCGACGAUCUGUAGCGGGUCUGAGAGGAUGAUCCGCCACACUGGGACUGAGACACGGCCCAGACUCCUACGGGAGGCAGCAGUGGGAAAUAUUGGACAAUGGGGGGAACCCUGAUCCAGCCAUGCCGCGUGUGUGAAGAAGGCCUUAUGGUUGUAAAGCACUUUAAGCGAGGAGGAGGCUCUUUUGGUUAAUACCCAAGAUGAGUGGACGUUACUCGCAGAAUAAGCACCGGCUAACUCUGUGCCAGCAGCCGCAGUAA